Molecule: long non-coding RNA, 254 nt
Filed under: Phoenix dactylifera (date palm)
Lineage: Eukaryota; Viridiplantae; Streptophyta; Magnoliopsida; Arecales; Arecaceae
Description: long non-coding RNA (PDAC_LNC008493)
Source: RNAcentral
CCCGUCGAUCCCGCGUCCGUGAACCCAGGCGCCCGUUUCAAACGCAUCUUCAGCUUCCCCACCGCAUGCCAACAACGCCCGUCUCCAAAUCCUCCGCAAUCACCGGCGAUCCCAGCCCCUCUUCCGUGAUCCGACGAUCCCGCACCGCCCAGCCGAUCCCUGCAUCCGCGCCGGAUCUUCAACCAUGAUCAGCUCCCAUCAAUCACGAUCCUCUCCACGUGCUUGCUGAUGGGAUCUAUAUAAGAGAGGAGGAA